This 1394-nucleotide ribosomal RNA is filed under the name uncultured bacterium. RNAcentral describes it as "16S ribosomal RNA". It matches the Rfam family "Bacterial small subunit ribosomal RNA". The record is from RNAcentral.
AGAGUUUGAUCCUGGCUCAGGAUGAACGCUGGCGGCGUGCCUAACACAUGCAAGUCGAACGAAGCACUUUAUUUGAUUUCCUUCGGGACUGAUUAUUUUGUGACUGAGUGGCGGACGGGUGAGUAACGCGUGGGUAACCUGCCUUGUACAGGGGGAUAACAGUUGGAAACGGCUGCUAAUACCGCAUAAGCGCACAGCAUCGCAUGAUGCAGUGUGAAAAACUCCGGUGGUAUAAGAUGGACCCGCGUUGGAUUAGCUAGUUGGUGAGGUAACGGCCCACCAAGGCGACGAUCCAUAGCCGACCUGAGAGGGUGACCGGCCACAUUGGGACUGAGACACGGCCCAAACUCCUACGGGAGGCAGCAGUGGGGAAUAUUGCACAAUGGGCGAAAGCCUGAUGCAGCGACGCCGCGUGAGCGAAGAAGUAUUUCGGUAUGCAAAGCUCUAUCAGCAGGGAAGAUAAUGACGGUACCUGACUAAGAAGCACCGGCUAAAUACGUGCCAGCAGCCGCGGUAAUACGUAUGGUGCAAGCGUUAUCCGGAUUUACUGGGUGUAAAGGGAGCGCAGGCGGUGCGGCAAGUCUGAUGUGAAAGCCCGGGGCUCAACCCCGGUACUGCAUUGGAAACUGUCGUACUAGAGUGUCGGAGGGGUAAGCGGAAUUCCUAGUGUAGCGGUGAAAUGCGUAGAUAUUAGGAGGAACACCAGUGGCGAAGGCGGCUUACUGGACGAUAACUGACGCUGAGGCUCGAAAGCGUGGGGAGCAAACAGGAUUAGAUACCCUGGUAGUCCACGCCGUAAAGAAAGAAUACUAGGUGGUUGGAAGCAUUGCUUCUCCGGUGCCGUCGCAAACCCAGCAAAGUUUUCCCCCCGGGGGGGACGUUCGCAAGAAUGAAACUCAAAGGAAUGGCGGGGGACCCCCACAACCGGUGGAGCAUGGGGUUUAUUUGGAAGCACCGCGAGGACCCUUCCCAAUUCUGACAUCCCUUCUGACCGGUACUUAACCGUCCCUUUUCUUCGGAGCAGGAGUGACAGGUGGUGCAUGGUUGUCGUCAGCUCGUGUCGUGAGAUGUUGGGUUAAGUCCCGCAACGAGCGCAACCCUUAUCUUUAGUAGCCAGCGGUCCGGCCGGGCACUCUAGAGAGACUGCCAGGGAUAACCUGGAGGAAGGCGGGGAGGACGUCAAAUCAUCAUGCCCCCUAUGACUUGGGCUACACACGUGCUACAAUGGCGUAAACAAAGGGAAGCAAAGCUGUGAAGCCGAGCAAAUCUCAAAAAUAACGUCUCAGUUCGGACUGUAGUCUGCAACCCGACUACACGAAGCUGGAAUCGCUAGUAAUCGCAGAUCAGAAUGCUGCGGUGAAUACGUUCCCGGGUCUUGCACACACCGCCCGUCA